Molecule: ribosomal RNA, 1528 nt
Filed under: Klebsiella pneumoniae
Lineage: Bacteria; Pseudomonadati; Pseudomonadota; Gammaproteobacteria; Enterobacterales; Enterobacteriaceae
Description: bacterial SSU rRNA
Rfam family: Bacterial small subunit ribosomal RNA
Source: RNAcentral
AGAGUUUGAUCAUGGCUCAGAUUGAACGCUGGCGGCAGGCCUAACACAUGCAAGUCGAGCGGUAGCACAGAGAGCUUGCUCUCGGGUGACGAGCGGCGGACGGGUGAGUAAUGUCUGGGAAACUGCCUGAUGGAGGGGGAUAACUACUGGAAACGGUAGCUAAUACCGCAUAAUGUCGCAAGACCAAAGUGGGGGACCUUCGGGCCUCAUGCCAUCAGAUGUGCCCAGAUGGGAUUAGCUAGUAGGUGGGGUAACGGCUCACCUAGGCGACGAUCCCUAGCUGGUCUGAGAGGAUGACCAGCCACACUGGAACUGAGACACGGUCCAGACUCCUACGGGAGGCAGCAGUGGGGAAUAUUGCACAAUGGGCGCAAGCCUGAUGCAGCCAUGCCGCGUGUGUGAAGAAGGCCUUCGGGUUGUAAAGCACUUUCAGCGGGGAGGAAGGCGGUGAGGUUAAUAACCUCAUCGAUUGACGUUACCCGCAGAAGAAGCACCGGCUAACUCCGUGCCAGCAGCCGCGGUAAUACGGAGGGUGCAAGCGUUAAUCGGAAUUACUGGGCGUAAAGCGCACGCAGGCGGUCUGUCAAGUCGGAUGUGAAAUCCCCGGGCUCAACCUGGGAACUGCAUUCGAAACUGGCAGGCUAGAGUCUUGUAGAGGGGGGUAGAAUUCCAGGUGUAGCGGUGAAAUGCGUAGAGAUCUGGAGGAAUACCGGUGGCGAAGGCGGCCCCCUGGACAAAGACUGACGCUCAGGUGCGAAAGCGUGGGGAGCAAACAGGAUUAGAUACCCUGGUAGUCCACGCCGUAAACGAUGUCGAUUUGGAGGUUGUGCCCUUGAGGCGUGGCUUCCGGAGCUAACGCGUUAAAUCGACCGCCUGGGGAGUACGGCCGCAAGGUUAAAACUCAAAUGAAUUGACGGGGGCCCGCACAAGCGGUGGAGCAUGUGGUUUAAUUCGAUGCAACGCGAAGAACCUUACCUGGUCUUGACAUCCACAGAACUUUGCAGAGAUGGAUUGGUGCCUUCGGGAACUGUGAGACAGGUGCUGCAUGGCUGUCGUCAGCUCGUGUUGUGAAAUGUUGGGUUAAGUCCCGCAACGAGCGCAACCCUUAUCCUUUGUUGCCAGCGGUCCGGCCGGGAACUCAAAGGAGACUGCCAGUGAUAAACUGGAGGAAGGUGGGGAUGACGUCAAGUCAUCAUGGCCCUUACGACCAGGGCUACACACGUGCUACAAUGGCAUAUACAAAGAGAAGCGACCUCGCGAGAGCAAGCGGACCUCAUAAAGUAUGUCGUAGUCCGGAUUGGAGUCUGCAACUCGACUCCAUGAAGUCGGAAUCGCUAGUAAUCGUAGAUCAGAAUGCUACGGUGAAUACGUUCCCGGGCCUUGUACACACCGCCCGUCACACCAUGGGAGUGGGUUGCAAAAGAAGUAGGUAGCUUAACCUUCGGGAGGGCGCUUACCACUUUGUGAUUCAUGACUGGGGUGAAGUCGUAACAAGGUAACCGUAGGGGAACCUGCGGUUGGAUCACCU